This 245-nucleotide ribosomal RNA is filed under the name uncultured bacterium. Its description in RNAcentral is "partial 16S ribosomal RNA". It matches the Rfam family "Bacterial small subunit ribosomal RNA", at positions 524 to 768 of the family's 1533-position model. The record is from RNAcentral.
UACGUAGGUGGCAAGCGUUACUCGGAUUUACUAGGCGUAAAGCGUGUGUAGGUGGUUGAAUAAGUCCAUAGUGAAAUCUCUCGGCUUAACCGGGUGGGGUCUAUGGAAACUAUUCGGCUUGAGUGUGGUAGGGGAGGACGGAAUUCCUGGUGUAGCGGUGAAAUGCGUAGAUAUCAGGAGGAACACCGAUGGCGAAAGCGGUCCUCUGGACCAAUACUGACACUGAUACACGAAAGCUAGGGGAG